Molecule: non-coding RNA, 74 nt
Organism: Parelaphostrongylus tenuis
Lineage: Eukaryota; Metazoa; Nematoda; Chromadorea; Rhabditida; Metastrongylidae
Source: the annotation of a GenBank genome assembly
GCCUCGGUGGUGUAGUAAUAGUAGCACGCGUCCCCGGUAUGGAUGCAACACGGGUUCGAUUCUCUCCUGAGGCC